AGACAUACAGGUCGAGCAGGGUCGAAAGACGGACUUAGUGAUCCGGUGGUUCCGCAUGGAAGGGCCAUCGCUCAACGGAUAAAAGCUACCCCGGGGAUAACAGGCUUAUCUCCCCCAAGAGUUCACAUCGACGGGGAGGUUUGGCACCUCGAUGUCGGCUCAUCGCAUCCUGGGGCUGUAGUCGGUCCCAAGGGUUGGGCUGUUCGCCCAUUAAAGCGGUACGCGAGCUGGGUUCAGAACGUCGUGAGACAGUUCGGUCCCUAUCCGUCGUGGGCGCAGGAAAUUUGAGAGGCGCUGUCCUUAGUACGAGAGGACCGGGAUGGACAUACCCCUGGUGGACCAGUUGUCGUGCCAACGGCAUUGCUGGGUAGCUAUGUAUGGACGGGAUAAGUGCUGAAAGCAUCUAAGCAUGAAGCCCCCCUCAAGAUGAGAUUUCCCCAUUAGAUCCCUCAGAGAUGAUGAGGUGGAUAGGUUCGGCGUGUACGUGUGGUGACACAUUCAGCGGACGAAUACUAAUCGAUCGAUGACUUAUUCAAG
RNAcentral lists this ribosomal RNA (537 nucleotides) under Salinicoccus sediminis. RNAcentral's name for it is "bacterial LSU rRNA". It matches the Rfam family "Bacterial large subunit ribosomal RNA", at positions 2378 to 2925 of the family's 2925-position model. The record is from RNAcentral. Lineage: Bacteria; Bacillati; Bacillota; Bacilli; Caryophanales; Staphylococcaceae.